GACGAACGCUGGCGGCGUGCUUAACACAUGCAAGUCGAACGGAAAGGCCCUGCUUUUGUGGGGUGCUCGAGUGGCGAACGGGUGAGUAACACGUGAGUAACCUGCCCUUGACUUUGGGAUAACUUCAGGAAACUGGGGCUAAUACCGGAUCGGAGCUCCUGCUGCAUGGUGGGGGUUGGAAAGUUUCGGCGGUUGGGGAUGGACUCGCGGCUUAUCAGCUUGUUGGUGGGGUAGUGGCUUACCAAGGCUUUGACGGGUAGCCGGCCUGAGAGGGUGACCGGCCACAUUGGGACUGAGAUACGGCCCAGUCUCCUACGGGAGGCAGCAGUGGGGAAUAUUGCACAAUGGUCGGAAGCCUGAUGCAGCAACGCCGCGUGCGGGAUGACGGCCUUCGGGUUGUAAACCGCUUUCGCCUGUGACGAAGCGUGAGUGACGGUAAUGGGUAAAGAAGCACCGGCUAACUACGUG
RNAcentral lists this ribosomal RNA (468 nucleotides) under uncultured bacterium. RNAcentral describes it as "partial 16S ribosomal RNA". It matches the Rfam family "Bacterial small subunit ribosomal RNA", at positions 28 to 507 of the family's 1533-position model. The record is from RNAcentral.